GCGCUCCCUCCCGCCCUCUCCCGCUCCGGGCUCGGGUUUCUAGGACUGCCUGGAGAAGUGUGUCUUGUGCACAGCUCUGGAAUGCAUUUGGCAGGCUGACGAGCAGCGAGGGGCAGCAUCCUGGAGGGAGGAGGGGUGCAGCUCGCCCGCGCGCCGCCGGCAGGUUUCCUCCCGGCCUGGAAGACCUCCGGCACCCGCCACUCGGCCUCCCGGCGCGCUAACCUUGCCCAGCCAGCAGACCUGCUUAGAGCAUCCAAUCGCAUGCGGGGCCUGCUUAGGGUCAGAGAGUUUAUUCCUUCACCAUAGGUUCCAGAGAAAGCUAUCCCCAGAUGCAAGUGAUUGCUAGGAAGUAGAAAAGGGAGCCCUACGUUGUGGAAGGAAGACAACAGUAUAGGACCAUCAGCAGGACCGGACAGAGAGGGGCACCCCUGGCUGUCCUGGAACUUGUAGACCAGGCUGGCCUUGAACUCAGAAAUCCGCCUGCCUCUGACUCCCGAGUGCUGAGAUUAAAGGUGUGCACCACCACACCCGACAAGGAAGCCUGUUUUAAGAAGUGAUUCCAUGGAGGAGUUCUGCGGCGGCUCAGGGCUUGACUAAACAGUGGACCUCAGACAAGAGAGGCUAAACCAGGCUGCAGGUGACAGGAAGAAUUGAAUAAACUGAAAGCAAAGGGCAGCCUUCUAAUUACGCUUCGUGGCUAUGUGGACAACCUGGAGAAGUCUGGAAACCCAGCCCCACCCCAUCACAUUCUUACUCCUUCCCUUUCCAAGAAAGAAGCCAGAAGCCCGAAGCCAGCAGUAGAGCUCUGACUGGCUUGUAUGCCUAGAAAGGAAGGGCUCUUCUUUCGCCUCACGGGCACAAAUGGGACCCACGAGCGCCGAUUUCAGACUAUUCUGAUCCCUUCAAAAAGAAAGUUAGGAGUCCAGGCUACUGUGAGUGAAUUUGAUUCUAAUUGUUUCAGAGAAUAUGGAAUAAAAUAUCUCAUUUGCAGUUGUUUA
This 998-nucleotide long non-coding RNA is filed under the name Mus musculus (house mouse). RNAcentral describes it as "predicted gene 20544". The record is from RNAcentral. Lineage: Eukaryota; Metazoa; Chordata; Mammalia; Rodentia; Muridae.